Molecule: ribosomal RNA, 383 nt
Filed under: uncultured soil bacterium
Lineage: Bacteria
Description: bacterial SSU rRNA
Rfam family: Bacterial small subunit ribosomal RNA
Source: RNAcentral
AGAUUGAACGCUGGCGGCAGGCCUAACACACGCAAGUCGAGCGGCAGCACGGGUACUUGUACCUGGUGGCGAGCGGCGGACGGGUGAGUAAUGCCUAGGAAUCUGCCUGAUAGGUGGGGGAUAACGUUCGGAAACGGACGCUAAUACCGCAUACGUCCUACGGGAGAAAGUGGGGAUCUUCGGACCUCACGCUAUCAGAUGAGCCUAGGUCGGAUUAGCUAGUUGGUAGGUAAAGGCCUACCAAGGCUACGAUCCGUAACUGGUCUGAGAGGAUGAUCAGUCACACUGGAACUGAGACACGGUCCAGACUCCGUACGGGAGCAGCAGGUGGGAAUAUGGACAAGUGGGACAAGUCCUGACUCCAGCCAGUCGCCGUCGUGUGU